UGAUUAUCUGGAUCUUUUCCUGGUUUCGUUGUUGAUGAGAAUGUCAUCGUCCCCCAACAAUUUGUUCCCAGCUGAACCCCCAGCACCUGGUACCGUGGAGACAGAUGAAGCAGGGAUUGACCUUGGGCAGGCAGGUCUCUUCUCCAGCUGAGCCUCCUUCCUCUUUCCUGGUUCUACAUCUGCAGCCUCAAGGACCCUGCCAGUUAGAGAACUCUGCCUAACACACCUUGUGUGAGCACCUUCACCGGCUGAAUUUGAUUCAGAGGGAUGUGAAGGCUGUCAGCACGUUGUGACAGAGUACGCACUUGAUGGCCUGGGAUUGAAUCCUGGCUCUUCUCGAUUACCAGCUGUGUGACCUUGGGCCAGUCGUUCAAGCUUCCCUUGCUCAGUUGUCUUAACUCUGAAGUGAAGAUGGUGAUCUUAUCGAUUGCAUCUGGCUGUCAAGAGAAUUCCCAUCAAAGCAUCCACUGCCAUCCACUCUAUUCUGACCCAUAGCGACCCCUAUGGGACAGAAUAGAACUGCGCCCUGUGGG
Long non-coding RNA from Echinops telfairi (small Madagascar hedgehog), 533 nucleotides. RefSeq lists it as uncharacterized. The record is from RefSeq and is a predicted model, not a curated record. The transcript is spliced from 3 exons. NCBI's taxonomy places the organism in Eukaryota, Metazoa, Chordata, Mammalia, Afrosoricida, Tenrecidae.